This 254-nucleotide unclassified non-coding RNA is filed under the name Chaetothyriales sp. RNAcentral describes it as "partial contains small subunit ribosomal RNA, internal transcribed spacer 1, and 5.8S ribosomal RNA". The stretch from base 1 to 46 matches the Rfam family "Eukaryotic small subunit ribosomal RNA", at positions 1786 to 1831 of the family's 1831-position model. Lineage: Eukaryota; Fungi; Ascomycota; Eurotiomycetes; Chaetothyriales. The record is from RNAcentral.
AAGUCGUAACAAGGUUUCCGUAGGUGAACCUGCGGAAGGAUCAUUAAUGAGUUAGGGUCUUCUGGGCCCGAUCUCCAACCCUUUGUAUAAUUACCAUGUUGCUUUGGCGGGCCCGUCUUUAACUAGACCGCCGGGAGGCUUUUUCGCCCCUGGCCAGUGCUCGUCAAUAGCCCUUGACAAAUUCUUUUUAACCAUGUUAAAUCUGAAAAUAGUUAAAUAAACUAAAACUUUCAACAACGGAUCUCUUGGUUCUG